GUUCCCCUUUACUUUUAAAACCUUUAUUUAUUUAUUUCACGUGCACAAAAUAGGUGUCAUGGAAACUCUGACCAGUUGCGACGACAACGGCCAACGUAAACACGGGUGUUGCCCAAAUGUCCAGUCUGGCCCCUUCCACUGCGACAACGGGAAUUAUUACAGGAUUUGCCAAAGAGACACCAUGACUGUGCACCAGUAGGAAAGAGACUGGCUACGGUUGCGUUUAUCAGGGUAUCUGCUUUGAAGAUGGCCAACGUCAAAUUUCUUUUUAUUAAUCCAAUGAACAAUACUGGUGGGUUUUCGAAUGGACGUGACAUACAGCAUGCGACCGUUCAUCCCUGGCAGGAGGAUCAGGUGGAUCGGGUCCAGAAGCCGGAAGCCCAUCAUACGCUGGUUGAGAGUGACGUCUGUGACGAGUUGGUGGCGGCCAAGACGAUUCUGUCGACUCAGUAGCUGCCGCAGUUGUUGCGGCCCAUCAAACGAGACGUCCAGCGGGUGAACCAGCGACGAUGGCCGAUAUUGACGAGAAAGUGAAUUGAUCGGAUCCAGCAUCCCGGCUGCCCACGGCUACUUGGACUCGGCCAGCCAGUCGGUGACCCAGCGUUGGUUGAGGGGUGAGCUGUCCAACUUCCAGUAUCUGAUGCACCUCAACACGCUGGCCGGCCGCUCCUACAACAAUCUGAUGCGGUACCCAUAUUGGCUCCGCGACGACACGGUCGAAAUGUGCACCAAGUGUCGCGUGAAAUUCUCGUUGACUGAGCGCCGACAUCACUGCCGCAACUGCGGGCACGUCUUCUGCUCCCGUUGCAGUCGCUACGAGUCUUGAAAUUAUGCAAUUGAGGAUCCGCCGGCCGGUGCGGGUGUGUCAGGAGUGCUACGCUUCUUUGAAAAUGUCCAGCGAUGGAACUUCUUAAUUUUCGACUGUCAAAAGACGAAGAGAUGUUUGACUUAACAAAAAAGAAAAUGGGCUAAUCUGUCAGAGAGUAGUGAAUCAAUGUCCAGUUAUGUAACGACACCCGCCCUUUGGCCCAAUGGAUCAGAGGGCGGGGCAAUUUAUAUCACAGGCUGAUAUCAGGUGUGUAGUGAUGAUUUCUAAAAAUUAGGGUUUUUAAAAACGACAGUCGUGUUUUAGCAGAUGAUGUUUAUACAAUCGACAUUCCAAUCGGCCCCCCACUCCUUUUAUUACCCUCCGGUUUGCCCACAAUCAAAUGCAUUUUUCUUUAUUCUUUUUAAAUCUGAUUAUUAUUUGAGAGAGAAUUUGACUAUUGGGGCAGAGUAGAUUGACUGUGUACUUGUGUAGCCUCCCCCCUCAGACGAAAAAAGAAAUGAAAACAAGAAAAUUUCUUAUUUAUGAUUUCAAGUAGCGAAAUCCAAUGUUUCUGUACACACAUUUGACUCCUCCCACUCUUUGGCUUUUGCAACCCCAUUCGACGACGAUAAAGAACCGUGCCGUUUUUCUUUUUUCUUUUUCGUGUUUCGAUUCUGUUUGAUUUCGUGUUUCCUUUCCCGUCAACUAAGAAAAAAAACAUCUCCUGCCUUUUUGCGACGCCCCACAGUCCAUCACACACACAAGAAAUGAAAAGAAAAAUUAUAAAAAAAAUAUUUGACCGUGUGCGCGUAGUGAGUAUUUGUGUGCAUCAUGUAGACCCGCCCCCCUCCACCCCAGCCCAGCAGAAAAAAAAUGAAAAUAAAAGUUGUUGGCAUUAUACAUGUUGUUUAUAUAAUAACAUUGUCGUCACCUCGUCAGUGUCAAAUUGAAAAAAAAAAAAACUGUUUGAUCGGGAAAUCUCAAUCCCUUUGAGGGAGAACAAAAACAAAAAAAGAAUAAAAA
This 1831-nucleotide long non-coding RNA is filed under the name Daphnia pulex (common water flea). RNAcentral describes it as "uncharacterized LOC124210066". The record is from RNAcentral. Lineage: Eukaryota; Metazoa; Arthropoda; Branchiopoda; Diplostraca; Daphniidae.